GGGUUGUGAGGUUAAGUGACUAAGCGUACACGGUGGAUGCCUAGGCAGUCAGAGGCGAUGAAGGGCGUGCUAAUCUGCGAAAAGCGUCGGUAAGGUGAUAUGAACCGUUAUAACCGGCGAUACCCGAAUGGGGAAACCCAGUGUGUUUCGACACACUAUCAUGUCAUGAAUACAUAGUGGCAUGAGGCGAACCGGGGGGAACUGAAACAUCUAAGUACCCCGAGGAAAAGAAAUCAACCGAGAUUCCCCCCAGUAGCGGCGAGCGAACGGGGAGGAGCCCAGAACCUGAAUCGGCUUGUGUGUUAGUGGAAGCGUCUGGAAAGUCGCGCAGCAAAGGGUGAUAGCCCCGUACACUAAAAUGCACAGGUCGUGAGUUCGAUGAGUAGGGCGGGACACGUGACAUCCUGUCUGAAUAUGGGGGGACCAUCCUCCAAGGCUAAAUACUCCUGACUGACCGAUAGUGAACCAGUACCGUGAGGAAAGGCGAAAAGAACCCCGGCGAGGGAGUGAAAUAGAACCUGAAACCGUGUACGUACAAGCAGUGGGAGCACCUUCGUGGUGUGACUGCGUACCUUUGUAUAAUGGGUCAGCGACUUAUAUUUUGUAGCAAGGUUAACCGUAUAGGGAGCCGUAGGAAACCGAGUCUUAACUGGGCGAUUAGUUGCAAGGUAUAGACCCGAAACCCGGUGAUCUAGCCAUGGGCAGGUUGAAGGUUGGGUAACACUAACUGGAGGACCGAACCGACUAAUGUUGAAAAAUUAGCGGAUGACUUGUGGCUGGGGGGUGAAAGGCCAAUCAAACCGGGAGAUAGCUGGUUCUCCCCGAAAGCUAUUUAGGUAGCGCCUCGUGAACUCAUCUUCGGGGGUAGAGCACUGUUUCGGCUAGGGGGCCAUCCCGGCUUACCAAACCGAUGCAAACUCCGAAUACCGAAGAAUGUUAUCACGGGAGACACACGGCGGGUGCUAACGUCCGUCGUGAAGAGGGAAACAACCCAGACCGCCAGCUAAGGUCCCAAAGUCAUGGUUAAGUGGGAAACGAUGUGGGAAGGCAUAGACAGCCAGGAUGUUGGCUUAGAAGCAGCCAUCAUUUAAAGAAAGCGUAAUAGCUCACUGGUCGAGUCGGCCUGCGCGGAAGAUGUAACGGGGCUAAACCAUGCACCGAAGCUGCGGCAGCGACGCUUAGGCGUUGUUGGGUAGGGGAGCGUUCUGUAAGCCGUUGAAGGUGGCCUGUGAGGGUUGCUGGAGGUAUCAGAAGUGCGAAUGCUGACAUAAGUAACGAUAAAGCGGGUGAAAAGCCCGCUCGCCGGAAGACCAAGGGUUCCUGUCCAACGUUAAUCGGGGCAGGGUGAGUCGACCCCUAAGGCGAGGCUGAAAAGCGUAGUCGAUGGGAAACAGGUUAAUAUUCCUGUACUUGGUGUUACUGCGAAGGGGGGACGGAGAAGGCUAGGCUAGCCGGGCGACGGUUGUCCCGGUUUAAGCGUGUAGGGGGGUGUGACCUGGUAAAUCCGGUUGCAUAUCAACCCUGAGGCGUGAUGACGAUGCACUACGGUGCAGAAGUAGUUGAUGCCCUGCUUCCAGGAAAAUCCUCUAAGCUCCAGGUAACAUUAAAUCGUACCCCAAACCGACACAGGUGGUCAGGUAGAGAAUACCAAGGCGCUUGAGAGAACUCGGGUGAAGGAACUAGGCAAAAUGGUGCCGUAACUUCGGGAGAAGGCACGCUGGCAUGUAGGUGAAGUCCCUCGCGGAUGGAGCUGAAGCCAGUCGAAGAUACCAGCUGGCUGCAACUGUUUAAUAAAAACACAGCACUGUGCAAACACGAAAGUGGACGUAUACGGUGUGACGCCUGCCCGGUGCUGGAAGGUUAAUUGAUGGGGUCAGCCGCAAGGCGAAGCUCUUGAUCGAAGCCCCAGUAAACGGCGGCCGUAACUAUAACGGUCCUAAGGUAGCGAAAUUCCUUGUCGGGUAAGUUCCGACCUGCACGAAUGGCGUAAUGAUGGCCAGGCUGUCUCCACCCGAGACUCAGUGAAAUUGAACUCGCUGUGAAGAUGCAGUGUACCCGCGGCAAGACGGAAAGACCCCGUGAACCUUUACUAUAGCUUGACACUGAACAUUGAGCCUUGAUGUGUAGGAUAGGUGGGAGGCUUUGAAGCGUGGACGCCAGUCUGCGUGGAGCCAUCCUUGAAAUACCACCCUUUAAUGUUUGAUGUUCUAACUCGGCCCCGUGAUCCGGGGUGAGGACAGUGUCUGGUGGGUAGUUUGACUGGGGCGGUCUCCUCCCAAAGAGUAACGGAGGAGCACGAAGGUUAGCUAAUCACGGUCGGACAUCGUGAGGUUAGUGCAAAGGCAUAAGCUAGCUUGACUGCGAGAGUGACGGCUCGAGCAGGUACGAAAGUAGGUCUUAGUGAUCCGGUGGUUCUGAAUGGAAGGGCCAUCGCUCAACGGAUAAAAGGUACUCCGGGGAUAACAGGCUGAUACCGCCCAAGAGUUCAUAUCGACGGCGGUGUUUGGCACCUCGAUGUCGGCUCAUCACAUCCUGGGGCUGAAGUAGGUCCCAAGGGUAUGGCUGUUCGCCAUUUAAAGUGGUACGCGAGCUGGGUUUAGAACGUCGUGAGACAGUUCGGUCCCUAUCUGCCGUGGGCGUUGGAAGAUUGAGAGGGGUUGCUCCUAGUACGAGAGGACCGGAGUGAACGCACCACUGGUGUUCGGGUUGUCAUGCCAAUGGCAUUGCCCGGUAGCUAAGUGCGGAAAAGAUAAGCGCUGAAAGCAUCUAAGCGCGAAACUUGCCUCAAGAUGAGUCUUCCCUGGGCCUUUAAGGUCCCUGAAGGAACGUUUAAGACUAAGACGUUGAUAGGCUGGGUGUGUAAGUGCAGCGAUGCAUUGAGCUAACCAGUACUAAUGAUCCGUGAGGCUUAACCUUACAACACCGAAGGUGUUU
RNAcentral lists this ribosomal RNA (2934 nucleotides) under Serratia marcescens. RNAcentral's name for it is "23S ribosomal RNA". It matches the Rfam family "Bacterial large subunit ribosomal RNA". Lineage: Bacteria; Pseudomonadati; Pseudomonadota; Gammaproteobacteria; Enterobacterales; Yersiniaceae. The record is from RNAcentral.